GAUGAACGCUGGCGGCGUGCCUAAUACAUGCAAGUCGAGCGAACAGACGAGGAGCUUACUCCUCUGACGUUAGCGGCGGACGGGUGAGUAACACGUGGAUAACCUACCUAUAAGACUGGGAUAACUUCGGGAAACCGGAGCUAAUACCGGAUAAUAUGUUGAACCGCAUGGUUCAACAGUGAAAGACGGUCUUGCUGUCACUUAUAGAUGGAUCCGCGUCGCAUUAGCUAGUUGGUAAGGUAACGGCUUACCAAGGCAACGAUGCGUAGCCGACCUGAGAGGGUGAUCGGCCACACUGGAACUGAGACACGGUCCAGACUCCUACGGGAGGCAGCAGUAGGGAAUCUUCCGCAAUGGGCGAAAGCCUGACGGAGCAACGCCGCGUGAGUGAAGAAGGUCUUCGGAUCGUAAAACUCUGUUAUUAGGGAAGAACAAAUGUGUAAGUAACUAUGCACGUCUUGACGGUACCUAAUCAGAAAGCCACGGCUAACUACGUG
Molecule: ribosomal RNA, 497 nt
Filed under: uncultured bacterium
Lineage: Bacteria
Description: partial 16S ribosomal RNA
Rfam family: Bacterial small subunit ribosomal RNA
Source: RNAcentral